This 1179-nucleotide ribosomal RNA is filed under the name Staphylococcus aureus. Its description in RNAcentral is "partial 23S ribosomal RNA". It matches the Rfam family "Bacterial large subunit ribosomal RNA", at positions 1 to 1176 of the family's 2925-position model. The record is from RNAcentral. Lineage: Bacteria; Bacillati; Bacillota; Bacilli; Caryophanales; Staphylococcaceae.
GAUUAAGUUAUUAAGGGCGCACGGUGGAUGCCUUGGCACUAGAAGCCGAUGAAGGACGUUACUAACGACGAUAUGCUUUGGGGAGCUGUAAGUAAGCUUUGAUCCAGAGAUUUCCGAAUGGGGAAACCCAGCAUGAGUUAUGUCAUGUUAUCGAUAUGUGAAUACAUAGCAUAUCAGAAGGCACACCCGGAGAACUGAAACAUCUUAGUACCCGGAGGAAGAGAAAGAAAAUUCGAUUCCCUUAGUAGCGGCGAGCGAAACGGGAAGAGCCCAAACCAACAAGCUUGCUUGUUGGGGUUGUAGGACACUCUAUACGGAGUUACAAAGGACGACAUUAGACGAAUCAUCUGGAAAGAUGAAUCAAAGAAGGUAAUAAUCCUGUAGUCGAAAAUGUUGUCUCUCUUGAGUGGAUCCUGAGUACGACGGAGCACGUGAAAUUCCGUCGGAAUCUGGGAGGACCAUCUCCUAAGGCUAAAUACUCUCUAGUGACCGAUAGUGAACCAGUACCGUGAGGGAAAGGUGAAAAGCACCCCGGAAGGGGAGUGAAAUAGAACCUGAAACCGUGUGCUUACAAGUAGUCAGAGCCCGUUAAUGGGUGAUGGCGUGCCUUUUGUAGAAUGAACCGGCGAGUUACGAUUUGAUGCAAGGUUAAGCAGUAAAUGUGGAGCCGUAGCGAAAGCGAGUCUGAAUAGGGCGUUUAGUAUUUGGUCGUAGACCCGAAACCAGGUGAUCUACCCUUGGUCAGGUUGAAGUUCAGGUAACACUGAAUGGAGGACCGAACCGACUUACGUUGAAAAGUGAGCGGAUGAACUGAGGGUAGCGGAGAAAUUCCAAUCGAACCUGGAGAUAGCUGGUUCUCUCCGAAAUAGCUUUAGGGCUAGCCUCAAGUGAUGAUUAUUGGAGGUAGAGCACUGUUUGGACGAGGGGCCCCUCUCGGGUUACCGAAUUCAGACAAACUCCGAAUGCCAAUUAAUUUAACUUGGGAGUCAGAACAUGGGUGAUAAGGUCCGUGUUCGAAAGGGAAACAGCCCAGACCACCAGCUAAGGUCCCAAAAUAUAUGUUAAGUGGAAAAGGAUGUGGCGUUGCCCAGACAACUAGGAUGUUGGCUUAGAAGCAGCCAUCAUUUAAAGAGUGCGUAAUAGCUCACUAGUCGAGUGACACUGCGCCGAAAAUGUACC